UUCUUCUUCGUCUUCUUCUUCGUCUUCUUCUUCUUCUUCUCUUUAAUAGACAUUACUACUCAUCUAUGAUCAGUCUGGAUACAUAAGUGUUUUUCCCAUAAUCUGUUUUCAAUACAAACUGUUCGCUAUUGUUUGCCAGUAUAAUUUUUUUCAGUCUAGCUGGAAGUAUCCAGAUGUGACUGGAUUGUGAUGAUACAGGGUACCUACCAUGUGCAAUCACAAAAUGAAAGAGCAACAAAGUCCCAAGGAGAUUCCACCCUAACGAAGAAAACUAAAUCUGUUUAAUUCCAUUAUAGAGCUGGAAGAGACAUUUAUAAGAGCUCUAUCCUGUGCUGACUCUCUGCUCUUUGAUAAAAGCUCACAAGAGCUCUCUGAAGGGAUCCUUGGCUGUCCCUGCACUGGGGCUGAGGACAGACCCAGCCAUUGUGGUGGAAGAUGCUAGCCCCAGCUGCCUGCCUCCAGCAUCUAGCCAGAGGUUACACCCCACAAACACAUUACUGAGAGACAACACUGGAAUCCAAGUUUGGAGAAUAAACACCUUUUCAAAUCCAUUCACUCAUAAGUCUGUCACUCAAAGACGCUUCAGAUUAUGGAAAACAAGGAGUAGGGGAAACUCAAAAUAUGUGCAGCAAGGCAGACUUUGGCAUUUUCCGUUCAGUUACUGAGUGUUUAACUUGCCAUAGCCCACAGAGGCUUGAACUUCAGUCAAGCUCCUCCUCCUGCUUUGGAUGAGAGGUAACAGCCUUAUGUUGUGCCAGGGGAGGUGCAGGUUGGCUAUUAGGGAAA
This is a long non-coding RNA of Gallus gallus (chicken), 786 nucleotides long. NCBI's taxonomy places the organism in Eukaryota, Metazoa, Chordata, Aves, Galliformes, Phasianidae. The record is from Ensembl.